ACUAAACCAACUCCAUACUGGUCGCCCUAUAAAAACAACCUGAUGAAAAAUUCAGGUUUGCACAUGUGCAGAAAGGAUCUGCAUGGUUGUAAAAAGAGUUGUGGAAAAAAAGUUC
This is a long non-coding RNA of Melanotaenia boesemani (Boeseman's rainbowfish), 115 nucleotides long. RefSeq lists it as uncharacterized. Lineage: Eukaryota; Metazoa; Chordata; Actinopteri; Atheriniformes; Melanotaeniidae. The record is from RefSeq and is a predicted model, not a curated record. The transcript is spliced from 3 exons.